RNAcentral lists this unclassified non-coding RNA (355 nucleotides) under soil metagenome. RNAcentral's name for it is "partial contains 5.8S ribosomal RNA, internal transcribed spacer 2, and large subunit ribosomal RNA". The stretch from base 1 to 120 matches the Rfam family "5.8S ribosomal RNA", at positions 35 to 154 of the family's 154-position model. The record is from RNAcentral.
GAUGAAGAACGUAGCGAAAUGCGAUAAGUAAUGCGAAUUGCAGAAUUCAGUGAAUCAUCGAAUCUUUGAACGCACAUUGCGCACGCUAGUAUUCUGGCGGGCAUGCCUGUCUGAGCGUCAUUUCAACCCUCGCCCCCGGCUUUUGCUGGGAGCGGUGUUGGGGAUCGGCCGCCCGUCACUGGGAGGCCGGCCCCGAAAUAGAGUGGCGACCACGCCGUGUGCUCCUCUGCGUAGUAGUAAAUCACCUCGCAGGCGGACAGCGGUGCGGCCUGCCGUAAAACCCCCAACUCUUUCUGGUUGACCUCAGAUCAGGUAGGAAUACCCGCUGAACUUAAGCAUAUCAAUAAGCGGAGGA